This is a long non-coding RNA of Eucalyptus grandis, 262 nucleotides long. RefSeq lists it as uncharacterized. Lineage: Eukaryota; Viridiplantae; Streptophyta; Magnoliopsida; Myrtales; Myrtaceae. The record is from RefSeq and is a predicted model, not a curated record. The transcript is spliced from 2 exons.
UUGAGGAAAGUCGAUCCUCGCGUCGUCCUCGUCGUUUUGGUUCGCUCGGCUCGCUAAUCCGGUCCCUGGUGGACGGAGCGGCCGUAUAGCUUUGGUUGGCCUUGAGGAGUUGGAGAUGUGAAGUCAUAAAGAUUGGAGAUCGUGUACGACUUGUAGGUCGUAGGAUAACCUCUUUUUAAGAGCCAGUCUUUUGUAGACUGUUGGCCGUAAACCCCUGUUUGUAAUUCUAUUGAAUUAUGUUUAAGUGUUAUGUUGUGGUUUU